RNAcentral lists this ribosomal RNA (390 nucleotides) under uncultured bacterium. RNAcentral describes it as "bacterial SSU rRNA". It matches the Rfam family "Bacterial small subunit ribosomal RNA", at positions 28 to 422 of the family's 1533-position model. The record is from RNAcentral.
AUUGAACGCUGGCGGCAUGCCUUACACAUGCAAGUCGAACGGCAGCACGGGGGCAACCCUGGUGGCGAGUGGCGAACGGGUGAGUAAUACAUCGGAACGUGCCCGGUAGUGGGGGAUAGCUCGGCGAAAGCCGGAUUAAUACCGCAUACGACCCACGGGUGAAAGCGGGGAUCGCAAGACCUCGCGCUAGCGGAGCGGCCGAUGUCAGAUUAGGUUGUUGGUGGGGUAAAGGCCACCAAGCCGACGAUCUGUAGCUGGUCUGAGAGGACGACCGGCCACACUGGGACUGAGACACGGCCCAGACUCCUACGGGAGGCAGCAGUGGGGAAUCUUGCGCAAUGGGCGAAAGCCUGACGCAGCGACGCCGCGUGAGGGAUGACGGCCUGGUGU